CGCUAGUGCGGACGGGUUGGGACCGGUGGCGUGCUAGAGAAAUCCGUACCACGGGGAUGGGUCCUGAGAUAACGGACGCGCUGGCGAAGCUAGAGGCGCGGGACCUGAAAAUAGUCUGGCGGAG
The sequence is a small RNA, 124 nucleotides long. It matches the Rfam family "Betaproteobacteria-1 RNA". The record is from Rfam.